Molecule: long non-coding RNA, 4345 nt
Organism: Coturnix japonica (Japanese quail)
Lineage: Eukaryota; Metazoa; Chordata; Aves; Galliformes; Phasianidae
Source: RefSeq, a predicted model, not a curated record
AGACAGAAACAGGAAACCCGCACACCUCUGCAUCUGAAAAGAAACCGCACCAGGGUAAGCUUCAGGUCGCUCGCUGCCGGGCUUCUAGCUUGGAUCCGCGUAGCAGGUGGUAUCAAGGUGCUUAGAGACCGUCUUCAGGCAUGAAUGGUGCUUAUUCUUUCCAGUGGCUACAGAGGGAGCCCGUGCUCUUAAUUUAGAUCAGCAUUUGCUCAAUGCAAGGUUGAUGCAGUGACCACAUUGGAAAAAAGCUCAAGAACUCACCUGGAUCAGCUGCUGUACGUAGCACAUCAACAGAGGCAGCUCCUCAGAGCCUUCACUGUGUUGCCAAAGGUGGAAAAUCCCCAACCUCUGUGGAUUCUUCUCCAGUGUCAGGCUUUGCUCAAGCUGUUGCUGUGCACCAGUGUUUCCCUGUCUUAAAUCUGCUGUCCCAGAACACACCCAGCAUCACCACAGCUCAGCUGCGUGCAGCAGAGGAUCCCUUCGGAGCUGCUGGAUCUGACAUGGAGCACUGCCCUGCUACCAGACCUUGGCAUGAUACAUUAAUGUAUCUCCGUGAAAAGAAUUUCUAUCAGUAACUGCAGCAUCUGGCAUCACCCUCGUGUGAUUCAACAAAGAAGUGAGAUGCUGUGGGCGGUCAGAAGGACCACCUCUGCUAGAGGGGCUAAAUUUGGCCAUGAGCAGCUGGAAGACAUCACUGCAAAAUGCAGAGAAAACGAUGCAAGUGCUUCUGCUUAUAUUGUUCAGCAGGAGACACCCAAAUGCAUUGCAGGACCAGACAGUGCUGCCAGGGGAAAAACAACACAAAAAGAGAGAGACUGUCAGCAUCGGACAGACGAACAUCACCAUCCUCAAGGUGAUAGAAAUCAAUACUCCAUUCCUCUCUGUGGAUUCCAUGGCUAUCUAGACUGCAGGUCAAGUGCUGACCUACCCUGCCUCUGCUUGAUCUGCCAUCUGCUAAGGUACCAGCUCUUGAGAGUGUAUUUUCUUCCCAGCCAUUGCUGUCACUGAAGUUUUCCUUUUAUCUUAGAGAAUUAGCGAUGUUUCAAUAACUGGUACAAUGUUUCCUAGAAACACUUUUUAUUUGUGGUUACACUUACAUGGUUACACAGUAUGUAUCAAUGCUAUACAAAAGAUGCUACCGAAAAAGCCAACAAUUUGAUCUCUUUUUGAUUUUCCAAAUCAGUUUUUCUAUGCUAUUCAGGAAUUGGGUCUCCUGCCCUUUGCCCUCAGAGAAACCUCCUGCUCCUCAGCAGCACAUUUCUGGCCAAGGACACAGAAUGCUUAAGUAAAGCCUCUGGACAGUUUUUCAGCUGCUCUUUGAAUUCACCUUCAUAACCCACAUGGUGAGGUUCACUGUAACCCAACCUGACCGUAGCUGUUCCUGGGAUAUGGGAUUCUAUCAGAACACUGGGGUACCCUCUAUAACAAUGUUUGUUUCUCAUUUCAAUUAAACAUCGAGAUAUAAGACUUCUAGGGAGAGAAUUCAUGAACUAAUUUUAACAGGAAAUAAUUAAAAUGUAGGUAUUUGCAGGGAACGUGCAUUGGGAGAAUCAGAAAAAUUGCUGUUGUGCAAAACGUGGCUUGGUGUAAGUGCUUUUCUAAUACAGAACUUGUCAACAGAAAAAAAAAAUCAGCAGAAAAACAGUUCUUUAUGUAUGUGCUCUUUGCUAUACAGAUGGGCUGCAUCGUAAGGAUGUAGAUGGUAUUUAUACCAAACUCUGACCAGUAUUUAGAGUCUAAAAGGGGACACAAAGCAUCGGAAAACUUCCUCAAAGGGAAAAAAGUGGUUUUUCAAACAGCGUUAAUGCCAAUCUGUCUGUAUUUUGGCACACUUAAAUUACUGUUGCGAUGGUAUUACGAAGCCUAAGGGGCUACAGAACUCAAAUGUGAGGAGGGAGUGUCACGUGCCAGUGAGCUCUAACUUUGAGAAUACAACAUUUCUUCAUCUGCAGCAGGCAAAGGCAACCAACAGCCAUAAAAGGGCUGGAUCUCAGUAAGGAAUCAGAGGGCUCUAAAGUCAGCUUCCACUUCCAAACCAAUUUUUAUCCUUGUAGACAUAGUAUAUGAAAAUACAGUAAUAAUCAAGUACUGCUGUGGGCCUCAUUCCCUCUAGCUGGAGGCACUGCUGGAAUGCUAUUAAUGUCUCAUCUAAUAAACUGAAACCAGCUGCUAGAAAAGUUCCAUUUGUUCUUUAAAAUGUUCGAUUAUGCCAGUAGUUCUGUGAUUAAUACACAGGGCUGUUUACACAAAUGAGAAAUGUUCCACAUUUUGAGCCCUCCUUUUAUAAUACAGAUUUGGUUCGCAGCUUACUUCUUCAAGCGGGCACACACAGCUGAUCUGGCUCAGAGAGACAGUAAUAGAUGGCAGGAGAAAUGAGGAAGAAAAGGACCCUGCUCCUGAUAACCCCCAUUGGUAACAGCGGCACGUGGGCUUCCUGAGCUGAGGAGUAUUUCUACACAGUGAGCAGACCCAUUUAGCUGUCGUUAACUUAGCUGACUGCUUUUAAACCCAUCCCAGCUUUAUACAGCUUACAGAUUAGUGGCUUGAUAGUUAAUUUCUUGAGGUGCAGGAAAUCAGUCAUUUUCUUUGUGAUUUUUCUCUGCCUUCAUCCCGUUCUCAGCCCCUUUUCUCAGUGCAGAAGACAAAAGAACUUUUGCACAUAUAUGUGCCUUACCUUUGUUCAUCUCUGCUGCUGCAGAUUGUUGUUCUUUCUGCGUUUGUGGGUACCAAUGGAUUCACUGAGUUAAGGUCCUUGUUUUGUUUCUAGUAAACUCUGAAGCCCUUCCAGUUGUUUAAGCUACAGCCUAGCAGAACGUCGCUCUAAAAUAAAAGUAAUCCCAAGACUUCCUGCUCAGUGUGGCAGCUGCAAGUUUCUCUCUGUGUUAUCAGUGUUAAAACCCCAGGCAUGUUGCUUGGACUGAUGUAGAAUUUAGUCUGCUGCUUUAUCAACUGUUGUUAUUCAGUCUUGUGAAAUCUUUUUUCAACACUGUGCUGAUUACUUCCAAUUUCACUCUGUUUCAUGUUAGAGGACAAACCUGCUCACCUACCACGUGCAGCUCUUCCAAAUGCUACAACAGCCCCACCGCUGUUCUGUGAGGGAUUCUGGUAAGUGAUAACCAUGUUUUAAAAGCCAACAGAGAGGUGGGAUUGCCUUCAUCAGAGUGCCAGUGUCUUGAGAAGCCAAGAAACAAAACUACCUGAUGCUGCACACAAAAACUGGCUUUAGAUAUGCAGCUCGGACUGCUUUAAAGCACACAAGCUUAUUUAGACAUUUAUGUUAAGAAUGGAGCCACAGAAAAUAGCUUCAACAGUAUAGAAGGUGGUGGAAGCCUCUAGAAAGCAGGAAGAUCAGCAGUAAGGAAUUGGUUUACCUUAGUAUUAAGGAAUUGGUUUUAAGGAAAUACAAUUACAAUGAAUAUUCCUUAUUUAUUCCUAUUUAUUUCAGAAGCAAUGCAGCUGGGUGUGAUGGAGCAAAAGGCGUUUGUGACUAACCUGAGUGAGGUGGGCAGCUCUGCACUGGGAAAGGCACCGUCACAGAAACCAUUUGCAUUAGGUGAGUACAGCCCAAUGUGCUGCUGACUGCUCCUCAGCCAAAGCAAUACUGCAGGUCACUAAACAAGCACAGAACACAAUUCAAUAUCUUUUUAUGUUAUUACUUCCUAUCAGCCUAAGCAUGGAGAUCACACUGUGAAUGCCCUCUUAAAAAAGCCCCUUAGCCUGUGCAAAUGCAAUCUGAUAAAAGCCAGAGGUUCGCCAGAGCACAACAAAGAGUUAUGGGAUAGCGUGAGAAGGCUUAACAGAGUUUGAGCCCCUUCCCCAUGUAGCUCCUUGUGCCUUCAUUCAGUGCAAGCACUGCUCCGCAACAACCAAAACACUGGUGUGCUAUAAGCAUUAGCCUGAUCCUAACUCCAAGACACAGCACUGUAUCAGUGCUAGGAAACCAUUAACUCUAGCCCAGCCAAAAUAAGGAGAAUCAAUAAGUUCUGCUUCACCCCUAUGGAAAUGGAGAUCUAGAAAUUAUUUAAACUAUGGCAGUUCCACUGCUCCUUCCUUUCUUGCCUCCUCUCCAUCUAAAUAUGAAUUAGAUGAUUAAGAGUGAUGCAAAUUAUAGAAAUCGUGGCUUUACUGGAUUCCUCACGCACUCACAGGACUGCAUGGUCACGCGUCCUCUCUUCCACUGCAGCCUGAAGCGCUGCCUCAUUCUCCUCUGGGCUUCGGUCCCUGAAUAAAAUGGACAAAGGUCUCUUGCAAUGCUUUCUGUGGCCCCACAGAAAUGUAGGGAUUCCAGGAUGAGAUCAGAAUUUCUCAGUGGCAAUGCAGGAGUAGUCCUGUGGCAGAAAAAAAA